RNAcentral lists this ribosomal RNA (1308 nucleotides) under Dothideomycetes sp. RNAcentral describes it as "partial large subunit ribosomal RNA". It matches the Rfam family "Eukaryotic large subunit ribosomal RNA", at positions 82 to 1410 of the family's 3401-position model. Lineage: Eukaryota; Fungi; Ascomycota; Dothideomycetes. The record is from RNAcentral.
AGUAACGGCGAGUGAAGCGGCAACAGCUCAAAUUUGAAAUCUGGCUCUUUCAGGGUCCGAGUUGUAAUUUGCAGAGGGCGCUUUGGCGUUGGCAGCGGUCCAAGUUCUUUGGAACAGGACGUCACAGAGGGUGAGAAUCCCGUACGUGGUCGCUAGCCUUCGCCGUGUAAAGCCCCUUCGACGAGUCGAGUUGUUUGGGAAUGCAGCUCUAAAUGGGAGGUAAAUUUCUUCUAAAGCUAAAUACUGGCCAGAGACCGAUAGCGCACAAGUAGAGUGAUCGAAAGAUGAAAAGCACUUUGGAAAGAGAGUCAAAUAGCACGUGAAAUUGUUGAAAGGGAAGCGCUUGCAGCCAGACUUGCCUGUAGUUGCUUAUCCGGACUUUUGUCCGGUGCACUCUUCUGCGGGCAGGCCAGCAUCAGUCUAGGCGGUUGGAUAAAGGUCUCUGUCAUGUACCUCUCUUCGGGGAGGCCUUAUAGGGGAGACGACAUGCAACCAGCCUGGACUGAGGUCCGCGCAUCUGCUAGGAUGCUGGCGUAAUGGCUGUAAGCGGCCCGUCUUGAAACACGGACCAAGGAGUCUAACAUCUAUGCGAGUGUUUGGGUGUCAAGCCCAGACGCGUAAUGAAAGUGAACGGAGGUGGGAACCCUUUGGGUGCACCAUCGACCGAUCCUGAUGUCUUCGGAUGGAUUUGAGUAAGAGCAUGGCUGUUGGGACCCGAAAGAUGGUGAACUAUGCUUGAAUAGGGUGAAGCCAGAGGAAACUCUGGUGGAGGCUCGCAGCGGUUCUGACGUGCAAAUCGAUCGUCAAAUUUGGGCAUAGGGGCGAAAGACUAAUCGAACUAUCUAGUAGCUGGUUCCUGCCGAAGUUUCCCUCAGGAUAGCAGUAACGUAUUCAGUUUUAUGAGGUAAAGCGAAUGAUUAGAGGCCUGGGGGUUGAAACAACCUUCACCUAUUCUCAAACUUUAAAUAUGUAAGAAGUCCUUGUUACUUGAUUGAACGUGGACACUUGAAUGUACCGUUACUAGUGGGCCAUUUUUGGUAAGCAGAACUGGCGAUGCGGGAUGAACCGAACGCGGGGUUAAGGUGCCAGAAUAUACGCUCAUCAGACACCACAAAAGGUGUUAGUUCAUCUAGACAGCAGGACGGUGGCCAUGGAAGUCGGAAUCCGCUAAGGAGUGUGUAACAACUCACCUGCCGAAUGAACUAGCCCUGAAAAUGGAUGGCGCUCAAGCGUAUUACCCAUACCCCGCCGCCGGGGCAGAAUUUAUGCCCCGGCGAGUAGGCAGGCGUGGAGGCUCGUGACGAAGCU